GGAAUUUUGGACAAUGGGCGCAAGCCUGAUCCAGCAAUGCCGCGUGAGUGAAGAAGGCCUUCGGGUUGUAAAGCUCUUUUGUCAGGGAAGAAACGGGCCUUUCUAAUACAGGGGCCUAAUGACGGUACCUGAAGAAUAAGCACCGGCUAACUACGUGCCAGCAGCCGCGGUAAUACGUAGGGUGCAAGCGUUAAUCGGAAUUACUGGGCGUAAAGGGUGCGCAGGCGGUUUUGUAAGACUGUCGUGAAAUCCCCGGGCUCAACCUGGGAAUGGCGAUGGUGACUGCAAGGCUAGAGUUUGGCAGAGGGGGGUAGAAUUCCACGUGUAGCAGUGAAAUGCGUAGAUAUGUGGAGGAACACCGAUGGCGAAGGCAGCCCCCUGGGUCAAAACUGACGCUCAUGCACGAAAGCGUGGGGAGCAAACAGGAUUAGAUACCCCAG
Molecule: ribosomal RNA, 440 nt
Filed under: uncultured Duganella sp.
Lineage: Bacteria; Pseudomonadati; Pseudomonadota; Betaproteobacteria; Burkholderiales; Oxalobacteraceae
Description: bacterial SSU rRNA
Rfam family: Bacterial small subunit ribosomal RNA
Source: RNAcentral